GAUUGGUUUUAGAUGCAUCCAAAACCAUUUUCACUAGUGUUAAAAUCGGUAAAUUGAUUUGCAUUUUCCUGCAGGGUUGGUUUUGGACGCGUCCAAAACCAUUCUCAUGAGCUAUAAAUUGGCCAAUUUGUUUGCACUUGUUUAGAGAUUGGUUUUGAAUGCAUCUAAAACCAUUUCCAAACGCACUAAAAUCGGCUGAUUUGUUUUCAUUUGUCUGGAGAUUUUUUGCUAAAAUCAGCGAAUUGGUUUGCAUUUCUCUAGGAUAGUUUUGGACAUAUCGGCAAAUUGAUUUGCAUUUUCCUACAGGGUUGGUAUUGGACGCGUCCAAAACCAUUCUCAUGAGCUAUAAAUUGCCUAAUUUGUUUGCAUUUGUCUAGGGAUUGGUUUUGGAUGUAUCCAAAACCAUUUUCAUUGGCGCUAAAAUCGGUAAAUUGAUUUGCAUUUUCCUAUAGGUUUGGUUUUGGACGCAUCCAAAACCAUUCUCAUGAGCUAUGAAUUGCCUAAUUUGUUUGCAUUUGUCUAGGGAUUGGUUUUGGAUGCAUCCAAAACCAUUUUCAUUAGCGCUAAAAUCGGUAAAUUGAUUUCCAUUUUCCUUAGCUGAUGCUAUCUUAACCAAAACUAUUGUGAAUUAUAGCAUAUUCGUACCAUAGAUUCCUUGUAUAUUAUUGCCUUUAUUGUAUAUAAUGUAUCUUAAUAAAGUGGGU
Paramuricea clavata is the source of this 704-nucleotide non-coding RNA. The record is from the annotation of a GenBank genome assembly. NCBI's taxonomy places the organism in Eukaryota, Metazoa, Cnidaria, Anthozoa, Malacalcyonacea, Plexauridae.